GACGAACGCUGGCGGCGUGCCUAAUACAUGCAAGUCGAACGCACAGUUUAUACCGUAGCUUGCUACACCAUAGACUGUGAGUUGCGAACGGGUGAGUAACGCGUAGGUAACCUGCCUGGUAGCGGGGGAUAACUAUUGGAAACGAAAGCUAAUACCGCAUAAUAUUAAUUAUUGCAUGAUACUUAAUUGUAAGGUGCAAUUGCAGUACUACCAGAUGGACCUGCGUUGUAUUAGCUAGUAGGUGAGGUAACGGGUCACCUAGGCGACGAUACAUAGCCGAACUGGGAGGGUGGGCGGCCAAACUGGGACGGGAGCACGGCCCCGGCCUCUGCGGGAGGCAGCCGGAGGGGAUUCUUAGGAAAGGAAGAAAGGCUGAACGUGGAACGCCGGGGGGAUGAAGGAGGUUGUCGGGUCGUAAAACUCAUUUGGGAGGGAAGGAAGGAUGUCGGUGUUGACAGUUCACACUGUGACGGUAUCUGACCAGAAAGCCACGGCUAACUACGUG
This 505-nucleotide ribosomal RNA is filed under the name uncultured bacterium. RNAcentral's name for it is "partial 16S ribosomal RNA". It matches the Rfam family "Bacterial small subunit ribosomal RNA", at positions 28 to 507 of the family's 1533-position model. The record is from RNAcentral.